Molecule: long non-coding RNA, 429 nt
Organism: Nylanderia fulva
Lineage: Eukaryota; Metazoa; Arthropoda; Insecta; Hymenoptera; Formicidae
Source: RefSeq, a predicted model, not a curated record
CAAUAAGCUAAUCAGACAGAAUAGUGUUGAAUGUUUGACUUUUUAGAUAUUAGUUGUAGCUAACAAUAAGUUUUUUUUAUAUUAAAUCCUUUUCUUUCUCGAGGUACAAACUGAACAUAAUCAUAUCAAUUGCUCACAGAAUUGAGUAGAAGUACACAAUGAACGUGUCGAAAAUAUUUCAUUAUUAUUGGACGGAAAUAGCAGUGCGACAUGUCUUCGUGAUCUAUAAUCGUAUACGCUACUUCGAUGAGUGCCCGAAGGGAAACAACUUUGAGAUGUCUAGACUAGGUGUGUCUUUCGAUUACACUCCACACGUAGUAGUCGAGAGGGUUAAGAUCGGGAUUAUUACAAGGCUAGAAAUCCUCCUUCGACCAAAACAUAUCCACGUUAGAGAGCUAAUUUUGAAUUAAAUGACUGAUGUGAGCGAGA